GAUGUAGGGGAGACUGGAAUUCCUGGUGUAGCGGUGAAAUGCGCAGAUAUCAGGAGGAACACCGAUGGCGAAGGCAGGUCUCUGGGCAUUAACUGACGCUGAGGAGCGAAAGCAUGGGGAGCGAACAGGAUUAGAUACCCUGGUAGUCCAUGCCGUAAACGUUGGGCACUAGGUGUGGGGGACAUUCCACGUUUUCCGCGCCGUAGCUAACGCAUUAAGUGCCCCGCCUGGGGAGUACGGCCGCAAGGCUAAAACUCAAAGGAAUUGACGGGGGCCCGCACAAGCGGCGGAGCAUGCGGAUUAAUUCGAUGCAACGCGAAGAACCUUACCAAGGCUUGACAUGGGCCGGACCGGGCUGGAAACAGUCCUUCCCCUUUGGGGCCGGUUCACAGGUGGUGCAUGGUUGUCGUCAGCUCGUGUCGUGAGAUGUUGGGUUAAGUCCCGCAACGAGCGCAACCCUCGUUCCAUGUUGCCAGCGCGUAAUGGCGGGGACUCAUGGGAGACUGCCGGGGUCAACUCGGAGGAAGGUGGGGACGACGUCAAAUCAUCAUGCCCCUUAUGUCUUGGGCUUCACGCAUGCUACAAUGGCCGGUACAAAGGGUUGCGAUACUGUGAGGUGGAGCUAAUCCCAAAAAGCCGGUCUCAGUUCGGAUUGGGGUCUGCAACUCGACCCCAUGAAGUCGGAGUCGCUAGUAAUCGCAGAUCAGCAACGCUGCGGUGAAUACGUUCCCGGGCCUUGUACACACCGCCCGUCAAGUCACGAAAGUUGGUAACACCCGAAGCCGGUGGCCUAACCCCUU
Molecule: ribosomal RNA, 800 nt
Filed under: Arthrobacter sp.
Lineage: Bacteria; Bacillati; Actinomycetota; Actinomycetes; Micrococcales; Micrococcaceae
Description: bacterial SSU rRNA
Rfam family: Bacterial small subunit ribosomal RNA
Source: RNAcentral